RNAcentral lists this unclassified non-coding RNA (404 nucleotides) under fungal sp. RNAcentral describes it as "partial internal transcribed spacer region". The stretch from base 1 to 46 matches the Rfam family "Eukaryotic small subunit ribosomal RNA", at positions 1786 to 1831 of the family's 1831-position model. Lineage: Eukaryota; Fungi. The record is from RNAcentral.
AAGUCGUAACAAGGUUUCCGUAGGUGAACCUGCGGAAGGAUCAUUAACACGUAUCCACGUACCCACCCAUGCGCACCCGUUGCCUCUCCCUCGGCAGCGACACGAAUCGAACGGAAGGAUCGGAUAGAGUUGGUCUGGCCUCGUGCCAGUCGCUGAUCCCUCCCCUACUGCUGUUCUACUCUCGAGUAUGCACAGCGACGAUUGAAGUCGAACCGAGGCUUACAUUCUGGUGGUGCUGACCCAACACUCUGGUCACACUGCUGGAUAUCCUAAUUUCUAAACACCCCUUUCACCGCAUCUAAUUAGUUGACUAUUUUAAUGUUGGCAUGCAGGCGUCAGUCUGCAUCCACACGUUUAUUAUAUAAACGAAAAUACAACUCUAAGCUAUGGACCUCUAGGUUCUC